RNAcentral lists this ribosomal RNA (253 nucleotides) under uncultured bacterium. RNAcentral describes it as "partial 16S ribosomal RNA". It matches the Rfam family "Bacterial small subunit ribosomal RNA", at positions 524 to 776 of the family's 1533-position model. The record is from RNAcentral.
UACGUAGGUGGCAAGCGUUGUCCGGAUUUACUGGGCGUAAAGAGCGCGCAGGCGGUCGAUCAAGUCGCGUGUGAAAGCCCCCGGCUCAACUGGGGAGGGUCACGCGAUACUGAUCGACUCGAAGGCAGGAGAGGGUAGUGGAAUUCCCGGUGUAGUGGUGAAAUACGUAGAUAUCGGGAGGAACACCAGUGGCGAAGGCGACUACCUGGCCUGUUCUUGACGCUGAGGCGCGAAAGCUAGGGGAGCAAACGGG